UACCAGACUCCUACGGGAGGCAGCAGUGGGGAAUAUUGCACAAUGGGGGAAACCCUGAUGCAGCGACGCCGCGUGAGUGAAGAAGUAUUUCGGUAUGUAAAGCUCUAUCAGCAGGGAAGAAGAAGGACGGUACCUGAGUAAGAAGCCCCGGCUAACUACGUGCCAGCAGCCGCGGUAAUACGUAGGGGGCAAGCGUUAUCCGGAUUUACUGGGUGUAAAGGGAGCGUAGACGGCGAAGAAAGUCUGAAGUGAAAGCCCGCGGCUCAACCGCGGAAUGGCUUUGGAAACUUUUUUGCUGGAGUACCGGAGAGGUAAGCGGAAUUCCUAGUGUAGCGGUGAAAUGCGUAGAUAUCAGGAGGAACACCGGUGGCGAAGGCGGCCUGCUGGACGGCGACUGACGUUGAGGCUCGAAAGCGUGGGGAGCGAACAGGAUUAGAUACCCUCGUAAGU
RNAcentral lists this ribosomal RNA (450 nucleotides) under uncultured bacterium. RNAcentral describes it as "bacterial SSU rRNA". It matches the Rfam family "Bacterial small subunit ribosomal RNA", at positions 329 to 794 of the family's 1533-position model. The record is from RNAcentral.